RNAcentral lists this ribosomal RNA (832 nucleotides) under Arthrobacter sp. RNAcentral describes it as "bacterial SSU rRNA". It matches the Rfam family "Bacterial small subunit ribosomal RNA", at positions 38 to 883 of the family's 1533-position model. The record is from RNAcentral. Lineage: Bacteria; Bacillati; Actinomycetota; Actinomycetes; Micrococcales; Micrococcaceae.
GGCGGCGUGCUUAACACAUGCAAGUCGAACGAUGAUGGGAGCUUGCUCUGGAUUAGUGGCGAACGGGUGAGUAACACGUGAGUAACCUGCCCUUAACUCUGGGAUAAGCCUGGGAAACUGGGUCUAAUACCGGAUAUGACUCCUCAUCGCAUGGUGGGGGGUGGAAAGCUUUAUUGUGGUUUUGGAUGGACUCGCGGCCUAUCAGCUUGUUGGUGAGGUAAUGGCUUACCAAGGCGACGACGGGUAGCCGGCCUGAGAGGGUGACCGGCCACACUGGGACUGAGACACGGCCCAGACUCNUACGGGAGGCAGCAGUGGGGAAUAUUGCACAAUGGGCGCAAGCCUGAUGCAGCGACGCCGCGUGAGGGAUGACGGCNUUCGGGUUGUAAACCUCUUUCAGUAGGGAAGAAGCGAAAGUGACGGUACCUGCAGAAGAAGCGCCGGCUAACUACGUGCCAGCAGCCGCGGUAAUACGUAGGGGCCAAGCGUUAUCCGGAAUUAUUGGGCGUAAAGAGCUCGUAGGCGGUUUGUCGCGUCUGCCGUGAAAGUCCGGGGCUCAACUCCGGAUCUGCGGUGGGUACGGGCAGACUAGAGUGAUGUAGGGGAGACUGGAAUUCCUGGUGUAGCGGUGAAAUGCGCAGAUAUCAGGAGGAACACCGAUGGCGAAGGCAGGUCUCUGGGCAUUAACUGACGCUGAGGAGCGAAAGCAUGGGGAGCGAACAGGAUUAGAUACCCUGGUACUGGAUGCCGUAAACGUUGGGCACUAGGUGUGGGGGACAUUCCACGUUUUCCGCGCCGUNNNNAACGCAUUAAGUGCCCGCCUGGGGAGUAC